Long non-coding RNA from Conger conger (European conger), 4189 nucleotides. RefSeq lists it as uncharacterized. The transcript is spliced from 2 exons. The record is from RefSeq and is a predicted model, not a curated record. Lineage: Eukaryota; Metazoa; Chordata; Actinopteri; Anguilliformes; Congridae.
ACAAACUAUUUCUGCGGGGGUUUCAGAUGUUCGAGACUAGUCGCUGUUGUAUAUGUUUUUUAGGUUCAACAAUACCAGGGACACCUUGUGUUGACACCUCAUCAAUUGUUAUCGGUGUAAACUGCAUUGUCACGCUACUUAAAGCCGCGCAGAUGAAUACAUAUUAAUUACUGACACGCGGUUAUAAUGGGCGCAAGCCGUGGAAACGUGCCUUAAGAAAAACAGGUGCUAUUAGCAUCUGAUCCACAGACGAGGAUUUAGCCAAUUGUACAACAGGUUGAGUUAAAUAAAAACUUCCAAAGAUUUUUUUAGCCAGUUUUGAGAGUGACAAUCUCCAAUAACCCAAUACAAUAUAUUCUUACGUCUAAUUUUCCGCUUGACAUGGCCUGGUCGCUUUUUUUCUUUUUGUACUUGUCUUUGUACAUUUUAUUACGAUGUUUCUUGCACAUCCAGGGCUUCCGCUGCUUGGCCACCUGGGUGGUGGUCUCACUGCAUCCCUCGUAAGUACAUUUCUUGGUCACAUUCUCGUUGUCGCCAAAGGUCUCCUCGUCGUUCAGGUCCUCCGGGCUGGCAGUGCUGUCCCUGGGGUCGGUGGUUUCCAGCACGUCGCUCUCGUCGCCGGGAUCUUCCAUGUCAAAAGGGAACACACUGUCCGGCUCGUGCGGCGUGACCACAUUCCGGCUUUCCACAACCCCACUUUUGUCCACGAAGUACGUCUGUCCGUCUUUGCUAUGUUUUGAAGAGAUCCCCUCAUCAAAGUAAAUUUCCUACGUUUGUGAAUCAGCUGUUGCUCUAGCUGCAGUGCUGGCUUCUGCAAUGUGACGUGACGUGUAUACCCGAGUGAAAUGGAUCUUUCGGGGGCAGGGAAUCGAUUUGACUGUUAAAUGAGGAGGGGGAUGUCAAACAAGGAGGCCCACCGCUGCGGAAAAGGGUAUUGAGGGGAGCGGAAAAUUGAUUGACAUUAGAUCGACGUACACGCCCACUGGUGCAUAAUGACAUAAAGUCUAGGUUCAAAAUGUUUUCCAGGAAGUGGACGGGGAAAAAAAGCUUUAUUCUGAAAAACACAAGUAUUACAAUUGUAUUCUUUUUAUGUGUUUAAGACGUGUUUGUGUGGUUCUGAAGAAUUGACUUGAGGAUUGAUGGUUCGUGAUGCAGUGUACCAAGCUUACCUUCAGAGCCUGUCCUGGUUUCCCUUUGGGUCCAGCUCCAUCAUCUUAAUUCCCAUCUCGACGCUAAGUUCAGCACCAUUUUCUUUUCUCCUCUGUAGGCCCGAGAUGAAAAUGAACCUAAUUUCCCAAAUGAAGCCCCUUUAAUUUUGAGAGCGCACUGCGACCCCCUCAGGACGGAGUCUUUUACUGCGUUCUCCCUGGCGGGGUUCAGGUGGCCGAGGGUUGUUGACAGGAAAUGAAAUGGCGUUUUUGAAAUCUCAUCAAAGGCUUCAUUAAUUUGGACGGUCUCGACAAAUAACCCUGUGAACGCUCCGCGCUUGUUUACGGAGCUGGGGAAGCACUGUAAUGAAAAGUUCCCCAGCACCCCCCCCUCCCAUCCCCAAGGUUCUGGGGGGCUCUAAAUUGAAAUCAAUAUGAUGUUUUCUUUGAGCGGUCGGGUCAAUUGAUUCUAAUUUAUCACGGCUCCCUGAAGGAAAGUCUAAGAUGGAACAACCUUACAGCAUCCGCCACAAUCUUGUACGAAGAUGUAAUUUCGCACGUCCAGAAAGGACACAUUAAUUUAUUUUAUUUUUGUGUUUUAACUGCUUGUUAAAUCAAGCUGAACCUACCCUUGUGGUUUGCACCACAAUUCCAAAUAAUUAUCAUUCCCUGUGACUGUCUCAAGGAAGAAAUGCUGGUUUAUUUUGUAGACUCGCAUAAAGCACAAAUCAAUUUGCAGUUUAAUCACGUGGCGGAUGCUAAUGGUAUCACAAAAGUGCAUUUCACACAACAGCCAAAUACUGCUAGAGCUAGAGACAGCCUAAGAUACUCUCACUUAAAUUCUACUGCCUAUGUGCAUGUUUAAGAUGACCUGAUAAGGGGACAGAAUGGUUUGUUUUUUAAAUUGGAAGCAUUGGUGUGUGGUCUGAAAGGGAGGGUUAUUAGACGUUCACAGGCAAUUGCCAAUAAGGUGCCUUCCUGGGUGACUGGGUAGGUUCCACCGAUGGUUGCUCCAGCAAUGAGGGUUGUUCCACCAAUGGGAGAUGAGGACAGAGAAGUAAGGAGAGGCUUCCGGAAGAGAUGGCACAACCAGGAGGUGAGAGGACGCCGAACGGAAAGUUCUAAUUCGAGGGUAGAGUCAUCGUUGUGUGAUAAAAGGAAGGCUACAGCUUACUAUACCAUUGAGUUUGAUGUAAAAUAAAAUGAAGACACUAAUAUUCAGAUAUUGAACCCUGUGGGGUCAUUUGCCCUCUGCAUUUAAUCCAUCCUAGCUCCUUAGGCACAGUGGGCCGCCACACCGGUUCUGAGGCCCGUGCCUGGGUCAAGGGUAAUGGCAGGAGUAAAUAUCUACUCUGACAUGCACGUCUUUGAGUGUGGGAGGAAACUGGAGUACCUGAACAGAACCCGUGCAAACACAGGGAGAAUGUGCAAGCUCCACGCAGAGUGGUUCCGGCUAGCCAGAACUGGAGCCCAGAACCCAGAACCUCCUUCUUGCGAGCCAACUGUGUUAACCACUGCCCCACCGUGCUGCCAAAUUGAAUGUGGAAGCCAGCGAAAGGGGCUCAGAAGUGGCGUGGCAUUUGCGUUCCUGUAACUGAUACAGGUACAGUGAUCUGAUGGCGCAGGUAGCAAAGGCCAGCCAGCAAGGCAUUACCGUAGUCAUGGCGACCAAAUCGUGUUCCUCAAAUAUGUACUCUCAAAACAACAGAGAACGUGUCAUUUCACACACAAAAAGUGACACAUAAAUUGUAUAUUUGUAACAGAAAAGUAGUAACACAAAAAGUGUGUUGGACAUUACCACAGCCUUUCUGAGUGUGGAUAUCGUUCAGCUAAAGGAGAGGACAGAGGUUGUGUUUGUACUUUCUAUUAAAAUGGCUGCCGACAAAAAUAUUUGUGGGUUGGAUGGAUAUUAAAUUGAGGUUGUCAGAUGGAGACAUCUGUUUUCCCUGUUGACCGGAAAUAUGGAUUGCUUAGAUGCGAUGCCACUGUGCUGUUAAAUAUUCUCCGCCCGUCAUAAUUACUUUCCAAAAUGGCAAAUAUCAGAUGGAAAAGGGCUCAGAAAAUGACCUUUAUCGAAAUUAAAACACUUUUUUGCCCUUUUAACAGGGUUGGUUUUCCUGCCCUUGACACCAGGUGACAGUGUGUGACGCAGUUCCCCGGUGCCAAAACAGCAUUUUGAAUUAAGGUUCCUUCCUAGGCGGUGCACAAUGCGUACACAUUUGAAUGUACGCAACGCCAAGUAAAGCACAGUUGUUCCGGGUAAUUAUGCGACUUCGACCUCUAUUCCCUUUUAGAACUGUCUUAAAUCUGACAGGGGAAGUUGGGCUGAGUUAUUAAUAUCUAUUAGCGACUGCGCGCGGCCCAGAAGUCUUGCUGAAGCUGAAGUUUAGCACGGACGUGAUAAGAAAGUGAAUCUUUUAAACACGAGGCUAUUAUAGAUGGGGUUUUUUUCUUCAAGUUUCAUUUCUGCCAGAAAGAGAAUGUUUCCUUGAUUCCCCCGAAUAAUGCUGUUAUCGCGGAGGAGGAAACUUGCGUCUGGAGCCAAGCAUGGUGAACAUGACAUGCUCUGCUGAGACUAUCGCAGCAGACUAUUGAACUGUAUUACAGGAAACUGGUGGUAUUUUGGAUUUAGGCUGGAGAACGCGGAAUUCUCAUCUGAUAUGUCUCACUGCUGUUUUAGCAACGUAAUGAUGCAAUAUGACACAGAGCUUCGAUGGGUUUUCAGCGCUGCAUGUCCAUGACGUUAUGUUUCUUUACUGGUUCCAUAAUUCCUUUGGGGUGGCCUGUAGCAUAGUGGUUAAGGUAGAUUAUGGGGACCCACAAGGUCGGUGGUUCAAAUCCCGGUGUGGCCACAAUAAGAUCCGCACAGCCGUUGGGCCCUUGAGCAAGGCCCUUAACCCUGCAUUGCUCCAGGGGAGGAUUGUCUCCUGCUUAGUCUGAUCACCUGUAUUUCGCUCUGGAUAAGAGCAUCUGCCAAAUGCCAUUAAUGUAAAUGUAAUGUAAUGUAAUGUCUUUAACAUUAAAAAUGAACCUAAAAUGUA